RNAcentral lists this ribosomal RNA (497 nucleotides) under uncultured bacterium. RNAcentral's name for it is "partial 16S ribosomal RNA". It matches the Rfam family "Bacterial small subunit ribosomal RNA", at positions 28 to 507 of the family's 1533-position model. The record is from RNAcentral.
GAUGAACGCUGGCGGCGUGCCUAAUACAUGCAAGUCGAGCGAACAGAUAAGGAGCUUGCUCCUUUGACGUUAGCGGCGGACGGGUGAGUAACACGUGGAUAACCUACCUAUAAGACUGGGAUAACUUCGGGAAACCGGAGCUAAUACCGGAUAACAUAUUGAACCGCAUGGUUCAAUAGUGAAAGGCGGCUUUGCUGUCACUUAUAGAUGGAUCCGCGCCGUAUUAGCUAGUUGGUAAGGUAACGGCUUACCAAGGCAACGGUACGUAGCCGACCUGAGAGGGUGAUCGGGCACACUGGAACUGAGACACGGUCCAGACUCCUACGGGAGGGAGCAGUAGGGAAUAUUCCGCAAUGGGCGAAAGCCUGACGGAGCAACGCCGCGUGAGGGAUGAAGGUCUUCGGAUCGUAAAACUCUUUUAUUAGGGAAGAACAAAAGGGUAAAUAACCUGUCCCGUCUUGACGGGACCUAAUCAAAAAGCCACGGCUAACUUCGUG